This 116-nucleotide ribosomal RNA is filed under the name Olea europaea subsp. europaea. Lineage: Eukaryota; Viridiplantae; Streptophyta; Magnoliopsida; Lamiales; Oleaceae. The record is from RNAcentral.
GGUGAACAGAUCCAUGGUAAGAAAAUGCCAGAAAUGGCAAGUGGCAGCAACUCGGUUGAAAUUCAGGAGGAAUUACAGGGAAAUAAUGGGAAAGGAAAAAAUAGGGAGCUGAUGAA